GCAUCCCAGGCAGGAGCAGAGCGUUUCCUCAUGCACUUAUGAAAUGUGUGUUCUUCAGAGGCGGCCUUUUCAUGGGCAGCUGUGGUUCUACCAAGGGAAUUACCUGCGAGCAGUGGGAGUGGUGGUGGCUCCAGGCUCAGCUGCAAGACAGGAAGCCAAGGUGAUAAUCAAUCAAUGCUUGUUUGCCAGGAGUUUCAAGAGUGUUCCUUAGGGAUGCUGUUGUCAGAUGAGGAUGGAGGCUGCCUUCAGCAUGACAUUGUCCACUGCUAGCACCAGAGGAAGGAGCUUGUACGGGGAAUAGCCUGGCAUUCUGGCACUGGUUCUACUCUCUGUUCAGGGUGUGUAUGUUGGUCUCAUUCAAAGGGGUGUACCUGAAGAGUUGCUGCUCUUGUUUCUCUUUGAGAAAUGACUGGUUAGUGACAGCAUCUCCCUGGGACUACGGUUGGGCAGUAUUAGGCCUGAAUGCACUUGGGACCUUCGCUACAAUCAAGAAGGUUCUAAGACUAAAGAUUGAGCACCAGUGGGAAGGCUGUGUGCUGAAGGGAGUACAUUCCUGGUU
Molecule: non-coding RNA, 559 nt
Organism: Phalacrocorax carbo (great cormorant)
Lineage: Eukaryota; Metazoa; Chordata; Aves; Suliformes; Phalacrocoracidae
Source: RefSeq, a predicted model, not a curated record